GUCUACAGCCAUGCUACCCUGAACAAGUCUGAUACCAUCAGAUCUCGGAAGCUAAGCAGCGUCAGGCUUGGUUAGUACUUGGAUGGGAGACCACCUAAGAAGAUCAGGUGCUGUAGGUG
Molecule: ribosomal RNA, 119 nt
Filed under: Pteropus alecto (black flying fox)
Lineage: Eukaryota; Metazoa; Chordata; Mammalia; Chiroptera; Pteropodidae
Source: RNAcentral